UGAAGAACUCACGUUCUCUUUAGUUUUCUCCACACGAAAAAGAGAAUCAGUCAUUAUCUUUUUACGUCUAAUUUUGUUAUUAAUAAAAUCAUGCGACCAAGAUAGGUUACAUUUAAAAAUGAAAAAUUAAAUGAAUAACCUAUUGUGCACGAUCCUGCAUGCACAAACAAUGUGUUUAGUAGCCUAUACAAUCGAUGAAUGUGAAGGACAGGAAACCAAAUAAGUCUAACUAGACAUCAUAACCUUAAACUCAUCAAAAUUGAGUUGUCCAUCCCCAUUGAUAUCGUAAUGAGCUAUCAUCAAUAUUAUCUUCACAUUAUAAAACCUUAAUAACUGGUUUUUCUUUUUCUUUUUUUAUACUUUUAAAAUAAGUUGGGAAAACCACAUAACUACUAUAUUAUAAAAACAUAUUUCACUAUAGUAGAGAGAGAGAGAGGUUUAUGCACUGUAAAGAUAGAGAAAGGCGGUUUAUGGCAUAAAUAGAGACGGAAGGGCUUUGAAUGACGGGUGAGUACGUGCAAAGAGAGACGUGAUAUGAAAUGCUGUGAAAUUGAAAUAUGGACGGUCCAGAUUGCAUCACAUAAAUGAACAAUUAAUUUAUAAUAAACUUAUUUUUAUUAAUUUUAAAAUAAAUAAUUAACAUCUGAUUUUAGAAAUUUAAACUUAAUCACCCUAAUUUUGAAAUGUAAAGUUUAUAAGUAGGGUUUUGCGUUAUUUUACGAAAUAACUUUCGACUUGAUUGAAUUAUAGUAUAAUCUUUUCUCCUUUAUGUUUUUCCGGCUCUAUAUUAUAUUAAAAGCUACUCAGAGGACACGUUUGUGUCAUCAUAUGGUUUUGGGAGGAUGCCAAAUUGAAUUGUAUAAAUUAGAAGCCGCAUUAAAAUGGAGAGAAUAAUGCCUUUCCCACCGAAAAGAGGAUAAAAUGAAAACUACCAAGCUCCAGUGAGUACACGCAAAUUUCGAUGGAACACUGAAAUGCGUAGAGAUAAAAGAAAUUUGAAGAACUGAUGAAAAUGCUAAUAAUUUCUGAACUCAAAAUAGCUCGACGCAGUUUAUAUAUAUAGGUACUGGGGCGUGUACCUGAUAAGAACGCGUACGUCGACCAAAAUAAUAUAACUUGUAUAAAGGGAUAUUGGCUGUAGGAUUAAACAAGAAAAGAAAAUAAGACCGUUGACUCAUUUUGUAUCGUAAUGUCCAGCUUUGAAAUCAAAAAAGAAGGGUAGGAAGAGAAGUCGAAUGCGUGUUCAAAACGGUUAAGAAUUUGUAAGAACAAUUAAACUUUGAAACAUUUUCCUGAAAGAAAUCCAUAGGAAAAUAAAUUUUACAGUAUUAUCAAUGAAUUGUUCUCGAAACUUCAUAGCUGUAAUAAUCGCUGAAAUUUAAGCCCCGUUUGGUCCCAUUAUUUGAAAUUAUAAUUUUUCUCUCUUAUUUUUAACUACAAUUUCCCAUGACAUAAUAUUACACAUAAAUUGAGAAAAAAAAUCUUAUUUUUCAACUAUUAUUUCAAAAAUUACAAAUUGAAAUAAUGGGAGCGAAAUGGGACUAAAUGUAAAGUUUGACACAGGGACGUGUGGCUAAGCAUGCCCGAGGGAGAGGGAGAGGGAGUGGGAGAAGAAAGUUCUCUUUUGUAGUGAAAUGUCUUCUAAAUUUUUCUUGACCGUCUGACAAACAUAAUUUAUAAUUUUAUUUUUUGUAUGAAUCUAAUUUUAUAUUAAUGGAAAUCAGUCCAAUAACCAUUAUUUUUUACAACCAAUUAAACGUGUUUAGAUCAUUAAUUUUCUUCUCUAAUAGCCAUAGCCGUCUAGCCCAAAGGAUUAAGAGAAACCCAAAUUCCCAAUUCCAAUUCGUCUCUCAACAUUCACCGUCUCAUUCUGGUCGUCGACGCCGCCUUCUAAUCCAUCAUUGUAUUUGUCUUUGAGAACACUUUGAAUUUUAAGGUAGUGAGGUUUGUUUGUUUAUAAAUACAUAUAAUUUCUAAAAGAAAGCUGACCCUUCUGUUGGAAUUUCUUCAUUUUUUGAAUUUCUCAAAAUUCAACCUCACAGUGCCACGAUAGAGGAAGAUAGGCAAUACCGACACCACUUUUCCCAGUUUGCCCACAGACAUUAUCAUCCCACACCAUUCCUCGUUUAGCCAGUGCCACUUUUCCCUGUUUGCACACGGACAUCAUCCCACAUUUGGACAAAUGAUGAAAUUGAACUCGAUAUUAUCAACUUAUAUCGAGCUACAGUGCCCACAAGGAUGAUCGCACUGUUGACACAACACACACACAUGAGGAUCAGGAUUAUUUUAUUCACGGGAGACCCACACCUCGACUAUGAGUGCGCGUCAUCCACGCUAUAGCCGACGCGGGUUGAGUGACUUAAUUCUAUUAACUUUUGACAAUGACUCAUUCGUUUAUAUUUUAUUUGUUAGUUUGGACUUUUAUAAUCUUAAUUUUUGAUAAUUUGAACUUGUUAAAUGUUUGAUACUUAUAUUUUUUAUGUAAGUACAUGUUACUAACUUAUAGAUACUGUGCAAAACUGAAAACUUAAGUAAUAGUACUAAUCUACUAGAACCAAACCAAACUGAACCAGGACUGAAUGGCUCGAUUCGGUUUGAUUCCACAUCUUAAAAAAAAUCAUUCAAUUUCAUUAUCAGAAAUAUUAUUAGUUCAUGGUUCAGUUCGAUUUCUUAGAAUCAAAACCAAAUAGAAACACGUCCACCCCUACUUUAAAUAAAUGGUGGGAGGAUAAUUUAUAAGUUAAGCAAUAGCUGGGUUAUUUUUGGAAAUUAAUUUCGAAAUGUUUUUGACCCUUUGAAUAUCAACGUUUUUUGCAACCAUUAAAAGACCUGACACACUUCUGUCCAUUUGCAAUUUUUUUAACAAUUAAUUUACUGUUUAAAUUUUGAAAAGCUGGCAAAAAAUUGGAAUAAUGGGGCUCAAUAGAAUAUUUCGAAAUUAACAUUUAUAAUGCAAAAUUUUGGUAAAAUAUAUUAUAAAAUAGUAUUUUUGAGAAACAAGUGAUUAAAAAAAAGAUUUUUUUUAUUUACCUGUAAUAUUUUUUUAAUGAAAAAUGUGUUGUGUGUUAAAAAUUUAAAGGGUAUCAAAUAAGAGCUUAGUUCAUUGACACCGGCCUAAAUAACAAAAUUCUUUGUUGGGAAAAUUAACACUUCAGACAAUCCAGUCGAGUGUUAAAAAAAUGAAGAAUCAAUCAUAGGAUAAAAAUACUUGAAAUUGAUCAAGAAUUCCAAUCGUAUAUUAUUUAAAAUAAAAAGAAUUUUUUUUUUUUUUUUUUUUUUUUUGUGAAAAAAGCUAUCUAUCCCGUACAAAUCUCUAAAAGUCAAGACAAAAUUUCAGAAUUACACAAAAGUCACUUUAUAGAAGUCUUUUAAAAUACAAUUUGGAUUGCAUUAAAAUGGAGAUCUAUGAUGUCUUUCCCACUGACCACAUGAAGAAUCAACGUUGGUCGACUGCCUGAAAAACGAGUUAAUUUCACUUCGAAGUUUGUAAGAAAUUUUAAAUUGAUCAUUAAAAUAUUUUCUUCCUAGUUUUAUAACGAUUUAAGAAAUAAUCAAUCAAUUAGGAAAAAAUGUAGGCCAUGUUCAGUAGGGAUUUUGAGAAUUGACUUUUUUACCGUUAGGAAAAAGUGGGGGCCACCUGCAAAAAAAGAAGUAAAAAAUUAUGACUGAAAUAGUGAAAUAGCGGUUAAAAAUCAAUUUUUUUGGAUAAAAAAUCACUCCCAAACACCCCCCCCCCUUCGCAACUUAAAAUCCAUCAUGUUAAGUGUCACAAUAGAAUAAACAAUGAUAAAUCAAAUUGUCGUACUCAAUUUGUAUAGCUAAUGCAACAAGCCCAACAAUAUAAAAUCCAUCUUCCAUCUCAUUCCCUAACACUAACGAUAACCCACAUUAAAUAGCAAGGAAAGCAUCGUGUUAAGAAAAUAACGUCACUUUCUCCACACGUCAAAAUUUAUGAUGACACAUUACAUUCUAAUUAAAUGAUUAUCUGCGAAAUUAUUAACUCAUUUUUUGUUACCAAUUUAAAAUUUCCUAUAAACUUAAUUGACAAUUGGUGGAAUUAACUUGCCUUAAAGCAUUGACAUAUUCCCAGUUGGAAGUUGCUCGGGAGCUUGAGUCUGGACUCUAUUGGGGAGAAGUUGACUUUGUUGUUAUUACGUGGGUUUCGAUUGUUAUUAAGCUGUUGUUUUGUAGAGAUUUUUUAAAAAUUCAUUUUCAAUAAUAUAUUUUACGAGAUUCAUAAUUUUUUCUUAUUUUUUAUUUAUAUAUUCUCCUAUAGAAUCUCUCAAAACAAGCGUUAAGUAUGAAGCCGCAUUAAAAUUUGUCAAUUGCCUUAAAUAUCAUAUUCUGAUGCUCCGCCGCAUUAUGAUAAAUAUUUUUGACUAUUGGAAAUUUGAGUUAUGCAUAAUUAAUUUUAUGCGUAUACACGUUUCUUGUAAAAAAGUCUAUUGACUCUAUUCCAUUAAUUUAUUGUUUAAAUGUUACCAUUCUUUGCCACAUUCCUGAUAUUUAGGACAAUUGGAGUUUUUUGCUGCAAAUAAAACCCAACUUCCUUGAAGACUCGAUGAACUUCUUCUUACUGAAAAUACUUUAGGAUUCAAUGGUUUUUACCUUGAGGCUGAUCAUCUUAGUGGCAAUAAAUUUAAUUCAACUAUCCUAAAAAAAGGUUGAACCCUAACCUUAAGGGCCCCCACCGACCCUGUCCUGGGCCAUCGUGGAGAAGGUAAAUCGCAGGAUGUGCCUCCCAGGAGCCAGGGUGGAGAGCACAUGGAUAAGUCAAGACUGUUAACCCAUAUGGUAACUCCCGAUUGCAACAAAGUCAAUUCCACCUUGCGGGGAAUCGAACUCUGUACACUGUCGCGCUGAGCCCUAUCCGCCCUCCCCUUUGCCACUGGGAGAUAUGCCCUGGGGGCUUAAUUCAACUAUCCUAACUAUUUCAAAAGUUCUUAUAAGGAGGAAUGGAGUUGAUGUGGAUGCAGGAAAAUUGGGGUUGAAGAAGGUGGAGGAAAUGACGUGAUGGCUGACACUGUGGUGGACUCAGUUCAGAUGAUGGUGGUGAUAAUUGUUGUGAGGCUCACCAUCAGGGGAAGGAUGUUUGUUCCAUGAGCAGAUAAGGGAUUGAGGUUUGGCAGGUAGUGAAAUAUAAGUAUUUUUUAUGAACUAACAUAUUUUUUUAAUGAAAAUAUUUAAUUGUCCUUCUAGUGUACUUUUAGAAGCUUUGCAACCACAACAUUUUGGAAAGAUUGGAGACAUUUGAUGCUAUUUACCCUUUUUCAAUUAAUUAAAGAUUAAAAGACCAUCGCAUCCGUUUCAAAAUUGAUCAAUUUUUGGUCAAACGUUAAAUUUUGGCCAACCAAUGAAUUUUUGGACGAAAGUCAUCCAGAUACCCUUCAUCAGACGCACAAUUUUUAAAGGUUUGAAACUACCUGCUAGAAAUUAAAUAUUUGAGUAUAUCCUACACUAUAAAAAGUUUGAAACAUCUGCUACGAAUUUUCCUUCUAAAGGGAAUCUUCCAAAGGUGUGGUGUGCCAACUACUAUAGUGAUAAUUCAACAUGAGAAUCAUACAGGAAGUCGGUAGGAGCAUUAUCCUGUGUCCCGGAGGAAGGGCAUUUUCCCACCCCAAACCUUUAAAAGUUAAAUUAUUUAAAUAUAUUUGGCAAACUAAGAUUUUUAUUAUUUAUCAUAUUUCUUAAAUAAUCUUAGUUGCUAUCUAGAAUUAAUGAAAUUUUGUGAAAUUUUUUCCAUUUAAAGUUAAAGUAUUGAAUUUUUUAAGAAAAGAAAAAAAAUUAAACGGACCAAAAUUACCCCACUUUGUACCCGAUCCGAUUACCCGAUUAAGUGAGUAAUUCCCGCCCUAUUCGGGGUAGGCCUCGCAAGAAUCGGGUUUCGUGGGUAUGUGUACAAUCCCUAUAUUUAAAAGACUUUUUAAACAUAACAUACUCUCUAUUUUCGAAAGUCAACCUUUGAAAUCAUGCAAUCUUUAAAUUAACAUUUUAAUUUAGAGAGUGUUUAACUCUCCAAAUUAAAUGUGUUCAAAGCAUUUCAAUUUUUAAUGUAGAAAAAUAAUAAAAUAAUCCAAAGAAAAGUUAGUUAAAAUGAAAUAUAGAAAAAAAAUAAUAAAUAUUUUUUUGAAGUAGUAAAAUUAAGUGUUAAAUAUAAAUAGCUUCUUGGAGUUCUUUCAAAAUUUUAACUCUUGAAAUUUAUAAAUAUUUUUCAAAUGAUAAAAUAUGUCCUUUAAAAAUAUAGAGUCACUUCGAAAUACUAACUCAAACUUCUACUAGAUAAUAAUACGUGGCGUAGAGAACACACCGUCAAGGAUAGAAAUAUGCCCAACCCAACCACGUUUUUAUUUCUUUAGUACUUCAAAAUUUAUUUUGACGUUUGAAAAUUGUAAUUUUUUUUAUUAAUUCUGUGUCAAGCAAUAAAAAAUUAUUAGUAAAUACUAAUUUAGGCCCUAUUUGAGCAUAUGUUUUUUGAAAUGAGAGUAUUUUGGAAAAUGUUGAUUAAAAAGUAUAGAAAUUUUUUGGAUUUAAGUACUAGUUUAUUGAAAAAAUAUAUAUUAAAAACGAAUUAAAAAAAAACUUUAAAGAAUGAGGUUCGAACAUGGAUUGGACUUGAUGAUUGAUUUACUAUAAAUCGGGGUCAUCCUUCCUAUUCAAAAAUUUGACGCACUUAUUUGAUAAAUAAUCAUGAUCUUUAAUUUAAGUCAAUCCAAUGAUCAAUAUCAAGUUCACUAAAAUUAUGGAAGAAUUUGAUAUAACAAUCAAAUAACAAUAACGAUUAGUCUCUAGCAUUAUGACACACAUCAAAUAUUGUAGCAUUAGUACGGUCAAGAUUCAAAAAAUUUUGAGAAUCGUAUAUUUAUUGUUUAUAACAAUUCCCACCAAUAACAAUGAUAGUUGAAUAUAUUUUUAAGUAUAUAUGUCCCAUUCUAGUAUAAAUUAAUACUACCAUACCCCUUUCUUCCAUAUAUUGUUCCAAAUGAGAGUCAGUCAAUUCUACAUUUAGAUAUGAAUCCAAUUUUAACAACUCUUAAAUUGAAAGUAGGCAUCUCAAAUUCCCAAAAGGAGGGUUUCAAUUCUUAUAGUAAAAUUUAAAAAAUAAGUUGGCGCAUGGACUACUUGGCUAGGUUCACGAGCCAUAGGACUGAGUCGAGCAAUAUUUUUGCACACAGACCUUGCUUGGCACAUCAAUAGGACCAAGUCAAGCUCAAGAGUUUCAAGGCCGAGCUGGGAUGGCUUGGCCAUUGCCACCCCUACGUAUAUCACCAUCACGUUAUUCUAUCCACAACCGAAAUCCCACAUUGCCUUGCACCCCAAAUGCGACAUGACCAUGGCGUAAGGGUAAUGCAUGCCUAUGCCGUAGCCUAUGUUAGCUUUAAGGGGCUGACAUACAUCCUCAAAAGUAAAAAGAAAAAAAUAACAGUAAAAUAGUUCACGUUUAUUAGCGGUUCAAUUUGAACGUGGGAGCUAAAUUCAUUUAUUGCUAAAUAAUUGUGCAUUUUGUGAAGAACUCACGUCUCUCUUUAGUUUUCUCCACACGAAAAGGAGAAUCACUCAAUAUCUUUUUAUGUCUAAUUUUGUUAUUAAUAAAAUUAUCAACCACAAGUAGUUAUAUUUAAAAAUGAAAAAUUAAAUGAAUAACCUAUUGUGCACGAAGUAACCCGCACAAAACCUAUUGUGCACGAAGUAGCCCGCAGAAACAAUGUGUUUAAUAACUUAUACAAUCAAUGAAUGAAUGACAAUUAUGAAGGACAGGAAACCAAUUAGGACUAACUAGACAUCAUAAUCUUAAACUCAUCAAAAUUGAGUUGUCCAUCCCCAUUGAUAUCGUAAUGAGCUAUCAUCAAUUUACAUUCCUCAAUGGUUUUAGCUUCUCCUAAUCUACUAAGCAUUCUCUUCAAACUCUCUGGUAAUA
This 7915-nucleotide long non-coding RNA is filed under the name Olea europaea (common olive). RNAcentral's name for it is "long non-coding RNA (OEUR_LNC006816)". Lineage: Eukaryota; Viridiplantae; Streptophyta; Magnoliopsida; Lamiales; Oleaceae. The record is from RNAcentral.